This is a long non-coding RNA of Canis lupus familiaris (dog), 3042 nucleotides long. RefSeq lists it as uncharacterized. The transcript is spliced from 4 exons. The record is from RefSeq and is a predicted model, not a curated record. NCBI's taxonomy places the organism in Eukaryota, Metazoa, Chordata, Mammalia, Carnivora, Canidae.
CGCCCGCCCGCAGCGGGGCCCGAGGGCACGCGUCCCCGUCCCGCAGCCGCAGGAGGCUCUUGGCCCCAUUGUACCGAUGGCGAAACUGAGGCUCGCGUCGAUCGAGCCGGGGGCCCGGGAUCCAGCAGCCGGAACGUGGCGCUUCCCGUUGUGGGUCGCCUCUGCCCUCCGAGGGGCCCUGGGACGCGGGGCCCGAGCACCCCAGCACCCCGGCGCCUCCGGCCUGCCACCCUCCCGGAAGGCCCUGCGCAGCCGGCGGCGGGCGGCCCUCGGGGGACCCCAACGCCCGCCUGUGCCUGCGGAGACGGUUACGGGGAUCGCCUGUUCCUGUACUUCUGUGUUCCUAUUGUUAGCGUUUUACAGCUACGUUGGCGUGGAGAGGGAUGUUUUAAUGUCACACCGCACGACACUUUCUUUAACCUGGAAAUUCAUCUUUCCUUCCUGACUUUCAAAGCACUGAAGACAUUUCUGCGGGUCCCCACGAAAGCAUCGUGGGCCCCAGGCUCGGUGCUUCCGGUGGCUCAGGUGACGGCCCUGCCUCAGUUUACCCAAAGGAAGCUCAGGCUCUCGGCAGGAGGAGCUUUCAGAAGCUGGCUUUGCCUCGGCGACGGGACACUUCCUUGGAAAACCGUAUGGCAGUUCACACAUGUCUCAUUUUCAGAAAGACCCGGCUGCGAAUCCCUGAUCUUCCACUUACUGAUGACCCACGGCUGGGCACGUCCCUUGAUUUCCCAGAUCCGCAGUCUUUUCUGCAAAAUGAGGAUGAUGAUACCUAUCACCCGUGGGUCCUUGUGAGCGUUAAAUGAGUUUUUGUUUUUGCUUUGGGGCCUAACGCAGUUUCCUGGAUGGAAGCAGAAGACGUGAAACCCCUGGGUCAGAGACAAAGGACCGUAUUGCCCACAACACUGCGUGCAGCCUGAACAUCAGCACUUUUGCAUCCGUCCUUGGCUGUGUGGACACACAGUGUGUCACAGUAAAGGAACUCCGCGCUUAGGGAAACCAGAUCCUUCAUGGCGGAGAACGUGAAGCAGGUGCCAGAGCGUUGCGCCCGUCCCCCAAAUCGGGAAGCGACUUCCUACCUGUGACACUAGACCAGGUUGGAGAAGCAGCUUUUAGGGCUGGUGGCUGAAGUGCACCCCUGACCGUGAACCCCAGAACAGGACCGCUAACGGGAGCAGAGCCCCAGAGGCAGCUUCCUCCCAGUAGGAAGGAGAACAAUGCCCAGGGUCAGCGUCUGGCCUGCGUCACCCGGCGCCGAGGACGGAAGGUACCGUUUCUGCUGGAUUCCGUUUGCACCUGACGCAGGUGGGUACCGGGUGUAAACACAGAAACAACAAACAACCUGCCUCAUCCGUGAAUGAACAGGGUGGCGGGCUGCACGACGGGAUGCCGCCUUCGAGCCACCUUUGCUUUAGGACAACAGCGGGUCACUGGCUGUCACAUCUCUUGGGGACACCGUGUCCUGCCUCCCGAUUCCUACAAUUCCUAGUCUACGCGGGCGUCUGGAGAGGCCGCCGACCGAGCGUUUCGGACACGCUCCAGCAGAGGGAGUAACAGGCUCACACCAGGCCAGCUCCAGCCGCUCCGGGCCUCGAGGGCCCCCUUGUGUUGCUCACAGGGUCGGGUUUGCAGCGGUUUGUGCCCGGCUCUGCUCUAGUCCCUCUCCUUUCGGAACUCGGAGGAAGUGGGGGUGCUCCCGCAGUCGUGCAGCUUGGGUUAAGACCCUGCUCCGUCAUUUGCUGAGGCCUUGGCAGUGGCACUGGUGACUGCGAACUCCUCCCUGAGGCUCCUGGUGCAAGAAGGGAGGCCUCAAGAUGGGCCAGCAGAAUCCCCACAUUUCACAGAGGGGGAAACUGAGGCUCAGCCUAGACCAGAACCCGGGUCCCUGGGCACGUGAGCCCGUGCUCCCUCUGCUGUGCCCACCCGCCCCCUGCAAAUACGCAUAAACCUUCAGAGCAGCCAGACGCGCCGGGUGGUCGCAGGGCCGUGGUGCCCACUCCCCUCGCAGGGGGUUCGGCCGUGUUGGGCGUGAGUCACAGGCCUGUCAGAGGGGGUCAGGAGGACAGCUCGGCCCGGGCCACGCAGGCCCCACGCGAUGGUGGCUCUCCUCGUGGCCUGGAGGCUUCCCGGGUCGCAGUUCUCCCCUGCGGGUAGGGGGUCCUGAGGUGUGGGCGCCUUACACAAUCCAGCCCAUCAGGCCCCCAGCAGGGCCUGGGGGUCCUUCAGCUGGUGGGGGUCGGGGCCUGCGCAGCGGGGAGCCUGCCUCUCCCCUCCCUCUGCCCCCCACUCGGUCGCACCCUCUCUGGCGCUCGCUCACUCUCAUUCCCAAAUAAAUGAGACCUUAAAGAAAGGGAAAAGCCCCCCGCCAAGGUCCUGACUCGUGGCAAUGAUGUAAAACACACGGAGCCUGGUGGGGACUGCCACCGCACGCCCCCCGUGAGGUAGAGGGUGACAUGUCUAAGAACAGAGUUUUUCUACACCCCGCCAUUGCGUGCAUUGGGGGGACCCCAUCUGUGCCCUAAACUUGCUGCAGGGUCUGCACCUGUGGAGGAGGGAGUGAUGGCACCGAGGGGAUCCAGCCAACCCCUGCCAGGAGGGCACAUGCUUCCGCGGAUGUUCCUACAGCUGCCCUAACAAAGUGCCACAAACCGAGGAGUCUAAACCCACAGGAAUGUGUUCGCCCACGGUUCUAGGCAUUAGAAACCCGAAAUCAAGAUGUUGACAGGCCACACCCUCUGACAGUGGGUUGAGCCUUCCUGGCUGCUCCUUGGCUUGGAGCCUCACCUUCCACUCUGGCCCGUCAUCAGCCACAUGCUGUUCUCCCUCCGGGCUCUCGGUGUCCCUUUUCUUUCUCUUCUUAUAAGGACACGGUUCCUGUUGGAUUAAGGGCCUCUCGGUGGCAAGAGCAUGACCUCGUCUUAGUAGCAUCUGCAAAGACUGUUUCCAAAUAAGGUCAAAUUCGCAGGUACCCCAGACUAGGACUUCAGCCUUCCUUGUGUGGGAACACAGCUCAACCCACAACGCUUAUUAAAAGCUUUUCAA